Non-coding RNA from Acanthoscelides obtectus, 73 nucleotides. NCBI's taxonomy places the organism in Eukaryota, Metazoa, Arthropoda, Insecta, Coleoptera, Chrysomelidae. The record is from the annotation of a GenBank genome assembly.
GGUGCUGUAGAGUAGUUGGUUAGGUCGGCUUCUUGGAUUGGAGGAGAUGCGGGUUCGGAUCCCCCCAAAAUCG